GGAUGUGAGGGUGAUCUGGCUGCAACAUCUGUCAAUCCAUUGAUCACCAGGGUUGGUUCAGCUGAUCUGGCUGGCUAGGCGGGUGUCCCCUUCCUCCCUCAAUGCUCCAUGUGCAUUCCUCCCAACGCUGUGCUCUUGGUCGAAGAGGGAGACCACCCCCAAUAGAGGAGGACCAUUCCUUGGUCAAGGGUAUACGAGUAGCUGUUUCCCUACUAGAACCUUCAAACAAGCUCUCAAGAAUGCUCCUGUGAAGACUUAAGAUUCUUGUUAAAGAACAAAACAAAGUCUUCAGAUAAGUAAUCUAAGAUACUACUCUU
RNAcentral lists this small nuclear RNA (317 nucleotides) under Octodon degus (degu). Its description in RNAcentral is "7SK RNA (ENSODEG00000023802.1)". It matches the Rfam family "7SK RNA". From Rfam's summary of the family: 7SK was discovered as an abundant small nuclear RNA in the mid-70s but a possible function has only recently been suggested. Two independent studies have found that 7SK RNA binds the CDK9/cyclin T complex (known as elongation factor P-TEFb). P-TEFb activates transcription by phosphorylating the C-terminal domain of RNA polymerase II. Lineage: Eukaryota; Metazoa; Chordata; Mammalia; Rodentia; Octodontidae. The record is from Rfam by way of RNAcentral.